UGUGUGUGUGUGUGUAUGUGUAUAUAUAUAUAUGUGUAUAUAUAUAUAUAUAUAUACACACACACAUAUACAUACACACA
Non-coding RNA from Podarcis lilfordi (Lilford's wall lizard), 80 nucleotides. NCBI's taxonomy places the organism in Eukaryota, Metazoa, Chordata, Lepidosauria, Squamata, Lacertidae. The record is from the annotation of a GenBank genome assembly.